CCUACGGGGGGCUGCAGUGGGGAAUAUUGGACAAUGGGGGCAACCCUGAUCCAGCCAUGCCGCGUUUGUGAAGAAGGCCCUCGGGUUGUAAAGCACUUUCAGUGAGGAAGAACGCCUGGUGGUUAAUACCCAUCAGGAAAGACAUCACUCACAGAAGAAGCACCGGCUAACUCCGUGCCAGCAGCCGCGGUAAUACGGAGGGUGCGAGCGUUAAUCGGAAUUACUGGGCGUAAAGCGCGCGUAGGUGGCUUGAUAAGCCGGUUGUGAAAGCCCCGGGCUCAACCUGGGAACGGCAUCCGGAACUGUCAAGCUAGAGUGCAGGAGAGGAAGGUAGAAUUCCCGGUGUAGCGGUGAAAUGCGUAGAGAUCGGGAGGAAUACCAGUGGCGAAGGCGGCCUUCUGGACUGACACUGACACUGAGGUGCGAAAGCGUGGGUAGCAAACAGGAUUAGAUACCCCAGUAGUC
Molecule: ribosomal RNA, 465 nt
Filed under: Vreelandella stevensii
Lineage: Bacteria; Pseudomonadati; Pseudomonadota; Gammaproteobacteria; Oceanospirillales; Halomonadaceae
Description: partial 16S ribosomal RNA
Rfam family: Bacterial small subunit ribosomal RNA
Source: RNAcentral